This 669-nucleotide ribosomal RNA is filed under the name Streptococcus pneumoniae. RNAcentral's name for it is "partial 23S ribosomal RNA". It matches the Rfam family "Bacterial large subunit ribosomal RNA", at positions 1 to 714 of the family's 2925-position model. Lineage: Bacteria; Bacillati; Bacillota; Bacilli; Lactobacillales; Streptococcaceae. The record is from RNAcentral.
AGUUAAGUGACUAAGCGUACAAGGUGGAUGCCUUGGCAAUCAGAGGCGAAGAAGGACGUGCUAAUCUGCGAAAAGCUUGGAUGAGUCGAUAAGAGGCGUUUAAUCCAAGAUAUCCGAAUGGGGAAACCCAGUGGGUGAAGAAUCCACUAUCAACAAGUGAAUACAUAGCUUGUUGAGGCAAACCGGGAGAACUGAAACAUCUAAGUACCCCGAGGAAAAGAAAUCAACCGAGAUUUCGUCAGUAGCGGCGAGCGAAAGCGAAAGAGCCUGUUAAUGAUAACAGCAGAGAUAGAGGAAUAAGCUGGGAAGCUUAGCGACACAGGGUGAUAGCCCCGUACUCAAAAUCCAGGCUGUGGUACUAAGUUAACGAGAAGUAGGGCGGGACACGUGAUAUCCUGUUUGAAGAUGGGGGGACCAUCCUCCAAGGCUAAAUACUCCUGAUUGACCGAUAGUGAACCAGUACUGUGAAGGAAAGGCGAAAAGAACCCCGGUGAGGGGAGUGAAAUAGAACCUGAAACCUUGUACGUACAAGCAGUGGGAGCCCGCAAGGGUGACUGCGUACCUUUUGUAUAAUGGGUCAGCGACUUAUAUUUUGUAGCGAGGUUAACCGAAUAGGGGAGCCGAAGGGAAACCGAGUCUUAACUGGGCGACUAGUUGCAAGGUAUAGAC